Molecule: ribosomal RNA, 254 nt
Filed under: uncultured bacterium
Lineage: Bacteria
Description: partial 16S ribosomal RNA
Rfam family: Bacterial small subunit ribosomal RNA
Source: RNAcentral
UACGUAGGCAGCGAGCGUUGUUCGGAAUUACUGGGCGUAAAGAGUGUGUAGGCGGUGCUCCCAGUCUGUUGUGAAAUCUCCCGGCUUAACUGGGAGGGUGCAGCGGAAACUAGAGUGCUAGAGGGUGGGAGAGGUAAGCGGAAUUCCUGGUGUAGCGGUGAAAUGCGUAGAUAUCAGGAGGAACACCGGUGGCGAAGGCGGGUCUCUGGGCCGGUACUGACGCUGAGGCGCGAAAGCGUGGGGGAGCAAACAGG